GUGCUGUAUGAAAGGAGAGAAAGUUAGCACUCCUCUUGACAAGGAAUGGAUAGGU
RNAcentral lists this small nuclear RNA (55 nucleotides) under Sorex araneus (European shrew). The record is from RNAcentral. Lineage: Eukaryota; Metazoa; Chordata; Mammalia; Eulipotyphla; Soricidae.